UACGAAGGGGGCUAGCGUUGCUCGGAAUCACUGGGCGUAAAGCGCACGUAGGCGAAUCUUUAAGUCAGGGGUGAAAUCCUGGAGCUCAACUCCAGAACUGCCUUUGAUACUGGGGAUCUCGAGUCCGGAAGAGGUGAGUGGAACUCCGAGUGUAGAGGUGAAAUUCGUAGAUAUUCGGAAGAACACCAGUGGCGAAGGCGGCUCACUGGUCCGGUACUGACGCUGAGGUGCGAAAGCGUGGGGAGCAAACAGG
Molecule: ribosomal RNA, 253 nt
Filed under: uncultured bacterium
Lineage: Bacteria
Description: partial 16S ribosomal RNA
Rfam family: Bacterial small subunit ribosomal RNA
Source: RNAcentral